This 463-nucleotide ribosomal RNA is filed under the name uncultured bacterium. RNAcentral describes it as "partial 16S ribosomal RNA". It matches the Rfam family "Bacterial small subunit ribosomal RNA", at positions 28 to 507 of the family's 1533-position model. The record is from RNAcentral.
GAUGAACGCUGACAGAAUGCUUAACACAUGCAAGUCUUUGGCGAAGCUGUGCUUGCACAGCCUAGCCAAGGCGGACGGGUGAGUAACGCGUAAGGAACUUGCCCUGCAGUCAGGGAUAACAGACGGAAACGACUGAUAAGACCUGGUAAAGUCAGGCGGACUCAUGUCCAGCCUGAUGAAAAGAGAUGCUGCAGGAGAGCCUUGCGUCCUAUUAGCUUGUUGGUGGGGUAACGGCCCACCAAGGCGAUGAUAGGUAGCCGGCCUGAGGGGGUGGACGGCCACAGGGGGACUGAGAUACGGCACUUACUCCUACGGGAGGCAGCAGUGGGGAAUAUUGGACAAUGGGGGCAACCCUGAUCCAGCAAUUCUGUGUGCACGAUGAAGGUUUUCGGAGUGUAAAGUGCUUUCAGCAGGGAAGAAAAAAAUGACGGUACCUGCAGAAGAAGCGACGGCUAAAUACGUG